RNAcentral lists this ribosomal RNA (762 nucleotides) under Gyalolechia cranfieldii. Its description in RNAcentral is "eukaryotic LSU rRNA". It matches the Rfam family "Eukaryotic large subunit ribosomal RNA", at positions 165 to 943 of the family's 3401-position model. The record is from RNAcentral. Lineage: Eukaryota; Fungi; Ascomycota; Lecanoromycetes; Teloschistales; Teloschistaceae.
CGGGCGCGAAGCCGGUCUAAGUCCCUUGGAACGGGGCGUCGCAGAGGGUGAGAAUCCCGUAUGUGACCGGCGAUCAAGCCUCUGUGAAACUCCUUCGACGAGUCGAGUUGUUUGGGAAUGCAGCUCAAAAUGGGUGGUAAAUUUCAUCUAAAGCUAAAUAUUGGCCAGAGACCGAUAGCGCACAAGUAGAGUGAUCGAAAGAUGAAAAGCACUUUGGAAAGAGAGUCAAAAAGUACGUGAAAUUGUUGAAAGGGAAGCGCUUGCAACCAGACCUGCCCGCGGGCGAUCAGCCGUCCCUUGGGGGCGGUGCACGCGCCCGCGAACAGGCCAGCAUCGGUUCGGGCGGCCGGAUAAAGGCCCGGGGAACGUAGCUCCUCUCGGGGAGUGUUAUAGCCCCGGGUGCAAUGCGGCCCGCCUGGACCGAGGACCGCGCUUCGGCUAGGAUGCUGGCGUAAUGGUCGUAAGCGGCCCGUCUUGAAACACGGACCAAGGAGUCUAACAUCCAUGCGAGUGUUUGGGUGUCAAACCCAUGCGCGUAAUGAAAGUGAACGGAGGUAGGAACCCAUAAGGGCGCACUAUCGACCGAUCCUGAUGUCUUCGGAUGGAUUUGAGUACGAGCAUGGCUGUUGGAACCCGAAAGAUGGUGAACUAUGCCUGAAUAGGGUGAAGCCAGAGGAAACUCUGGUGGAGGCUCGCAGCGGUUCUGACGUGCAAAUCGAUCGUCAAAUUUGGGUAUAGGGGCGAAAGUAAGUUACGAAUCUU